GUGAGGAAUAUUGGUCAAUGGGCGGGAGCCUGAACCAGCCAAGUCGCGUGAAGGAAGAAGGAUCUAUGGUUCGUAAACUUCUUUUGCAGGGGAAUAAAGUGCAGGACGUGUCCUGUUUUGUAUGUACCCUGAGAAUAAGGAUCGGCUAACUCCGUGCCAGCAGCCGCGGUAAUACGGAGGAUCCGAGCGUUAUCCGGAUUGAUUGGGUUUAAAGGGUGCGUAGGUGGUUUGAUAAGUCAGCGGUGAAAGUUUGCAGCUUAACUGUAAAAAUGCCGUUGAAACUGUCGGACUUGAGUGUAAAUGAGGUAGGCGGAAUGCGUGGUGUAGCGGUGAAAUGCAUAGAUAUCACGCAGAACUCCGAUUGCGAAGGCAGCUUACUAAGCUACAACUGACACUGAAGCACGAAAGCGUGGGGAUCAAACAGGAUUAGAUACCCCUGUAGUCC
This 445-nucleotide ribosomal RNA is filed under the name uncultured bacterium. Its description in RNAcentral is "partial 16S ribosomal RNA". It matches the Rfam family "Bacterial small subunit ribosomal RNA", at positions 354 to 796 of the family's 1533-position model. The record is from RNAcentral.